AAAGGAAUUGACGGGGACCCGCACAAGCAGCGGAGCAUGUCGUUUAAUUCGAAGAAACGCGAAGAACCUUACCAAGGCUUGACAUUUAAUGCAUAGUAUAGAAAUAUAUGAAAUUUUACAGCAAUGUAAAACAUUAAAACAGAUGGUGCAUGGUUGUCGUCAGCUCGUGUCGUGAGAUGUUGGGUUAAGUCCUGCAACGAGCGCAACCCUUGUCUCUAGUUGCCAAUAUUAAGUUAGGAACUCUAGAGAGACUGCCGAAGAUAAUUCGGAGGAAGGUGAGGACGAUGUCAAAUCAUCAUGCCUCUUACGCCUUGGGCUACAAACGUGCUACAAUGGCUGGUACAAAGAGAAGCGAAAUAGUAAUAUGAAGCAAACCUCAAAAAACCAGUCUCAGUUCGGAUUGUGGGCUGCAACCCGCCCACAUGAAGAUGGAGUUGCUAGUAAUCCCGAAUCAGAAUGUCGGGGUGAAUGCGUUCUCGGGUCUUGUACACACCGCCCGU
This 500-nucleotide ribosomal RNA is filed under the name uncultured bacterium. RNAcentral's name for it is "bacterial SSU rRNA". It matches the Rfam family "Bacterial small subunit ribosomal RNA", at positions 903 to 1397 of the family's 1533-position model. The record is from RNAcentral.